GUGGCUUCUCCUGACUUCUCCAUCCCUGGCCCUGCAAUCAAGCAUGGGAGCCAGGAGUCCCAGCGCUUGGCUUUGCUCUCCUGUGUGGACUUCAUUCUUGGGAUCUACAUGAAAGCAAGAUAUCUGCCAGCAUCUCUAGGCCAACAUACUCUGUGGUCGGAGUCCCACAGAAAAGAAGAGAGCUUCUCUUCCCCAGUGCAGCCAGUCAGCAUCCUGGCUGGUUCUCAUUGGCCUGGUUUGGGACCCCUGCUAAGCUCGG
RNAcentral lists this long non-coding RNA (259 nucleotides) under Equus asinus (donkey). Its description in RNAcentral is "lncRNA (ENSEASG00005034611.1)". The record is from RNAcentral. Lineage: Eukaryota; Metazoa; Chordata; Mammalia; Perissodactyla; Equidae.